GUUUAGAUAGCUUAAUACAAAGCAUAGCACUGAAAAUGCUAAGACGGACCCUAAAAAGUCCUCCAAACG
Molecule: transfer RNA, 69 nt
Filed under: Anomaloglossus sp. 'Acari'
Lineage: Eukaryota; Metazoa; Chordata; Amphibia; Anura; Aromobatidae
Description: tRNA-Phe
Rfam family: tRNA
About the family: Transfer RNA (tRNA) molecules are approximately 80 nucleotides in length. Their secondary structure includes four short double-helical elements and three loops (D, anti-codon, and T loops).
Source: RNAcentral